RNAcentral lists this ribosomal RNA (468 nucleotides) under uncultured bacterium. RNAcentral's name for it is "partial 16S ribosomal RNA". It matches the Rfam family "Bacterial small subunit ribosomal RNA", at positions 28 to 507 of the family's 1533-position model. The record is from RNAcentral.
GACGAACGCUAGCGGCGUGCUUAAUACAUGCAAGUCGAACGGAAAGGCGCUGCUUUUGUCGGGUGCUCGAGUGGCGAACGGGUGAGUAACACGUGAGUAACCUGCCCUUGACUUUGGGAUAACUACAGGAAACUGGGGCUAAUACCGGAUAGGAGCUCCUGCUGAAUGGUGGGGGUUGGAAAGUUUCGGCGGUUGGGGAUGGACUCGCGGCUUAUCAGCUUGUGGGUGGGGUAGUGGCUUACUAAGGCUUUGACGGGUAGCCGGCCUGAGAGGGUGACCGGCCACAGUGGCACUGAGAUACGGCCCAGACUCGUACGGGAGGCAGCAGUGGGAAAUAUUGCACAAUGGGCGGAAGCCUGAUGCAGCAACGCCGCGUGCUGGAUGACGGCCUUCGGGUUGUAAACCGCUUUCGCCUGUGACUAAGCGUGACUGACGGUAAUGGGUAAAGAAGCACCGGCUAACUACGUG